RNAcentral lists this small nucleolar RNA (113 nucleotides) under Capsicum annuum. RNAcentral describes it as "Plant small nucleolar RNA R71". It matches the Rfam family "Plant small nucleolar RNA R71". Rfam says of the family: R71 is a member of the C/D box family of snoRNAs containing the C (UGAUGA) and D (CUGA) box motifs. Lineage: Eukaryota; Viridiplantae; Streptophyta; Magnoliopsida; Solanales; Solanaceae. The record is from Rfam by way of RNAcentral.
ACUUCAUGAUUUGGUCAUUGGGCAAGCUUACCAUUAAACCUCUCCCAAGCUUCAAAAAACGAUUCUCUAUUCAUUUGCCAAAAAUUUACAAUCUCAUCCCACUUUUGAAGAAU